UUAGAGUUUGAUCCUGGCUCAGGAUGAACGCUAGCGGCAGGCCUAAUACAUGCAAGUCGAGGGGUAUAUUACUUUCGGGUAAUAGAGACCGGCGAACGGGUGCGUAACGCGUAUGCAACUUACCUUUUACUGGGGGAUAGCCCGGGGAAACUCGGAUUAAUACCCCAUGGUAUUGUUUGAGGGCAUCUGAAGACAAUUAAAGAUUUAUUGGUAAAAGAUGGGCAUGCGUAAGAUUAGCUAGUUGGUGUGGUAAUGGCACACCAAGGCGACGAUCUUUAGGGGGUCUGAGAGGAUGAUCCCCCACACUGGUACUGAGAUACGGACCAGACUCCUACGGGAGGCAGCAGUAGGGAAUAUUGGUCAAUGGACGAGAGUCUGAACCAGCCAUGCCGCGUGCAGGAAGACGGCCUUCUGGGUUGUAAACUGCUUUUAUACGGGAAGAAAAGGCCCAUGCGUGGGACAUUGCCGGUACCGUACGAAUAAGCACCGGCUAACUCCGUGCCAGCAGCCGCGGUAAUACGGAGGGUGCAAGCGUUGUCCGGAUUUAUUGGGUUUAAAGGGUACGUAGGCGGCUUUUUAAGUCAGUGGUGAAAUCCCGCAGCUUAACUGUGGAACUGCCAUUGAUACUGGAAAGCUUGAGUAUUGUUAAGGUAGGCGGAAUUGAUGGUGUAGCGGUGAAAUGCAUAGAUACCAUCAGGAACACCGAUUGCGAAGGCAGCUUACUGGGCAAUAACUGACGCUAAGGUACGAAAGCGUGGGGAGCGAACAGGAUUAGAUACCCUGGUAGUCCACGCUGUAAACGAUGAUCACUCGCUGUUGGCGAU
Molecule: ribosomal RNA, 824 nt
Filed under: uncultured organism
Description: bacterial SSU rRNA
Rfam family: Bacterial small subunit ribosomal RNA
Source: RNAcentral